This 491-nucleotide ribosomal RNA is filed under the name uncultured bacterium. RNAcentral's name for it is "partial 16S ribosomal RNA". It matches the Rfam family "Bacterial small subunit ribosomal RNA", at positions 28 to 507 of the family's 1533-position model. The record is from RNAcentral.
GAUGAACGCUGGCUACAGGCUUAACACAUGCAAGUCGAGGGGAAACGACGGGGAAGCUUGCUUCCCCGGGCGUCGACCGGCGCACGGGUGAGUAACGCGUAUCCAACCUGCCUCUGACUGAGGGAUAACCCGUCGAAAGUCGGCCUAAUACCUCAUGGUAUCGUCUGCGGGCAUCCAACGACGAUUAAAGAUUUCAUCGAUCAGGGAUGGGGAUGCGUCUGAUUAGCUUGUUGGCGGGGUAACGGCCCACCAAGGCUACGAUCAGUAGGGGUUCUGAGAGGAAGGUCCCCCACAUUGGAACUGAGACACGGUCCAAACUCCUACGGGAGGCAGCAGUGAGGAAUAUUGGUCAAUGGGCGAGAGCCUGAACCAGCCAAGUAGCGUGCAGGAAGACGGCCCUAUGGGUUGUAAACUGCUUUUAUGCGGGGAUAAAGUGAGGGACGUGUCCCUCAUUGCAGGUACCGCAUGAAUAAGGACCGGCUAAUUCCGUG